AUUUUCACAAAGUACCAAAGCCUUGUAUAACCACUUCCUUGAAGAUGUCUUCCAUUUUCUGAAACCACAUCAAUCCACCUAUUUGUAGAAGAGUUAGAAUAUCAAGACAUCUAAGGAAAAAUCAUACCUUGAAAAAUCACAUAUGAGAUUUGAAUGGAAUAUCUCAUCUCAGGACAUGGGAUCUGGCACACCAUGUUCUGCAUCCAGAGUGGUUGGCAUGCAAAGGAACUGGAUGACACACAACUUGGAAAUGAUGGACAGUUAACUCCCUAUGGUGAAAAUUUUGACGAUUGGGAAAUAGAAGACAGGAGGGAGACAAGCAGAUAAAUUUCUCCUUCUUUUUCACACCGCCUAACAUAUAUCAUUCCAUACAGCAUGCCCGGGAAUAUACUGGGUAAUGAGUAAAUACAUCUGCCUAGCAAUGUCAUGGCUCAUUGUGAAGCAGUAGUCAGACAUAUAAACAGCAUUUCAUUUAUUUUCCACAUCUUUUUCUUAUCCUAAUGCCUUUAUUCCUUACUCUCCCUGUCUUACGUUUGCAGAUAGGAAAUAAAGCACUGUCACUUAGUCCUCACCUUAGGUUCCAUAUUCUAUGGAAACUGGCAAGCAAAGCCACCUGGUGAAUGUAAGAAUUACUACAUGGGAUUGUUAAAAAUGCAAACUUUCUAAUGUUGGCU
This 674-nucleotide long non-coding RNA is filed under the name Equus caballus (horse). RNAcentral's name for it is "lncRNA (ENSECAG00000047016.1)". Lineage: Eukaryota; Metazoa; Chordata; Mammalia; Perissodactyla; Equidae. The record is from RNAcentral.